This is a small nucleolar RNA of Zingiber officinale, 106 nucleotides long. NCBI's taxonomy places the organism in Eukaryota, Viridiplantae, Streptophyta, Magnoliopsida, Zingiberales, Zingiberaceae. The record is from RefSeq and is a predicted model, not a curated record.
AGGUCAUGAUGGGGGCAUUGCCUCAACAUACUCUUGAAUUUGUCCCAGGCUUCAAAUAAUGAUUAUGAGUCCACCUGUUUGAAGCUUGCAAUCAAAUUCCUCAUGU